AACGAACGCUGGCGGCAUGCCUAACACAUGCAAGUCGAACGAGACCUUCGGGUCUAGUGGCGCACGGGUGCGUAACGCGUGGGAACCUGCCCUUAGGUUCGGAAUAACUCCCCGAAAGGGGUGCUAAUACCGGAUAAUGUCUUCGGACCAAAGAUUUAUCGCCUUUGGAUGGGCCCGCGUUGGAUUAGCUAGUUGGUAGGGUAAAAGCCUACCAAGGCGACGAUCCAUAGCUGGUCUGAGAGGAUGAUCAGCCACACUGGGACUGAGACACGGCCCAGACUCUCAUGGGAGGGGGCAGUGGGGAAUAUAGGACACUGGGGGAAAGAGUGAUAUCCCAAUGCGGCGUGAGUGAGGAAGGGGUUAGGGUUGUAUAGCGCUCUUAUCCGGGAUGAUAAUGAGAGUACCGCGAGAAUAAGCGCCGGCUAACUCCGCG
Molecule: ribosomal RNA, 433 nt
Filed under: uncultured bacterium
Lineage: Bacteria
Description: partial 16S ribosomal RNA
Rfam family: Bacterial small subunit ribosomal RNA
Source: RNAcentral